Molecule: RNA transcript, 7963 nt
Organism: Peromyscus leucopus (white-footed mouse)
Lineage: Eukaryota; Metazoa; Chordata; Mammalia; Rodentia; Cricetidae
Exons: 7
Source: RefSeq, a predicted model, not a curated record
GGUUCCCACACCGACCCGAAUGGGUGCGGUCGCCCCUUGGACCCUUUGUUUCCAAGCGAGAGGUCGGCGGGGGCUAACUCGGGGAGAGCUGUUUUUCUCUGACCCGUGCAAGCCCCCUCUUAUCGGUGCUAUUAGCAGGUUCAACAAAACUAAACAAACAAAACAAAACAAAAGAACCACCUAGCACGAACUAACCGUUUGUGGAGCUUUCUACUCAAAGGGUCAUAAGAGAGCCCAUUUCACAGAGGGGGAAACGGUGCAGAAGAGUCCAGGACUGGCACAAUCCCAGGAAGAGGACACCUAAUACAGUGUUGUCAAGCCCUGUCUCAGGUAGCUCUGGGUCUGGACAUCUGGGCUCACGGAAGAACUCCGGCUCCCCAUCAGUAGACAGAACUCUUAAUCUCUGGUUCUACUUUUCUCAAAAUGGCAUUUGUUGUUGUUGUUGUUGUUCUUUCAAUAGCAUUUUUGUUUUUUAAAGGGUUUUUGGCAAACCUUGGUCACUUUGUUGUACAAAGUUGUUGCCUGUUGACUGGACGCACUUGCCUCUGCUGGGGGUGACACUUUUAUCUACUCCUCUAGGCUGAUGGCACCUCCAUCUCCUUCUGUAAUAGUUUUUCUAUUUCAGGCUCUCUAUCCUCUCCUGGGGAGCCAGGAUUGAGUCUCCCCCACUGCAGCUCGUCACUGGGAAGUUAGGGACCUAGGUUGGACUCCUGCAUACUGUGCCUCGGUCUCCUACUGGACACAGAGGUUGCAGAGGGUUAGAUCAGGCCUGCUCAGAAAGCCUGGUCUGCAGGUGACGGCGCUCACUCACUUUGGGGCCUGUACUGCAUGGCUUCUUACUGAACUUUGCCCUCUCCCACCCCAAUCUCUUCCCACUUAAGGGGGCAUAGGUGAAGCCUAAUGGGACAGAGGGGGCCAUCAGGACUGAGCACAGCAUCCCAGGGAAGGAAUGGGCAAAGGGCAGACAAACACAGGCAGGUCAUGCCCAGUGAAUAACAAGGUGACUUAGGGGGCAAGCUGUCGAGGAAGGGAGGGUGACCGGGGGCCUUUGUGUAAUCCUAAAAACUCAGGAUUUUAUCAGGUGUCUGUAGAAGCCUUAGUUCUCUGGCUCCGUGGUGUAGGAAGGUCACCCUCAGACCUGUGGAGCCCACAGUGGGAUGACUUAGACUCAACUCAGAGCUGAUUAAAGCCCACACUGCUCAAAUGAACAUUCCUGAUGGCACAAGCCAUUUUAACCUCUCUAGAUAACAAUUUGAUUGUGCAUAUUCAAAGCACAUAAUACAGCAUUCCCUACAAAAUUGCUUGCAAUGGACAAGGAUAUUCACUGAAGCAUUGUUUGAAGAGAAUUGGAAAGGACCCAAAAUGUGCUGGGGAAGUAAGUGACGGAGCUGUCACACAAAGGACACAAUGUAGCUGUCGGGAGGGUGUCAGUUAGAGCCAACUGUGCCUGGUGGCACACAGUAGGCACUCAGCAGGCCUGGAGAGACCUCCAGGUGCAAGAAGCAACUUGCACAAUGAUGGUAUAGAGUGGCUCCCCUCUUCCUUUCUGUAAGCGUGGAGCUGAUGCACAAACCCUUGCAAAGUCAGUAACUGCCGAAGUGUUAAAGCUGUAUGCUUGGAAAUGAUGAAGAGAGAGAUUUCACUCUGGACACUGCCAUGGCUGCCUGAGGCUGGAGGAAGUGCUUGGAUCACUCACUGUAAUUGGCACAAGGAACCUUUCAGGAUGAUGGAAAAAAUUUUAAUACUACACCAUAAUGAUGAUCAUACAACCAGUUCACACCACUGAAAAACCACAGAACUGUAUACUUCAGUGAGUUAACUGUGUGCCAGCAAAUUACAUCCUGAGACACUCGCUACAAAAGUUUGAAGCACAAAAUCUAAAAUGUGAUCUAAAAUGUAUCCGACAUGGCUAUUGGUUUUGUUUGUUUGUUUAAGAACUGUAGUCUACAAAGAAUGCUCUAAGAAUAUGCGUAAAGGGAUACUUGCUCCUUAGCCGACUUGGGAAAUGACAAGGAACCUGAGCCAGCAGCUGGGCUGGCCCCUCGGGAGCAGAGCAGCGGGAUCAGCGUGGCCCCAGUUUGUCCAGUUGGUGAUUAACAGAGGACCCAUUAUGGCUUGGCCUCGACCCCUGGGGUCAGUGACCACCAGCCCAGAGUCCCUGGUCCCAGGUUAAUGAUCACAAAGGUGGUGUAGCUUUGCUGGCCAUGUGGCUUUGGAGCCUCUGCCCUCUGGGACCCUGGAGCCUAGAAACCCUCACUCCAGGGCAUCAGUGAAUGGAGACUAGAAGGAGCAACUCUCUCUUCCCUGCCUGGAAGAGGCGUGAGUUCAAGGGAACAAGCGGGCUGAAGUGAAGUGAAGGGGAUGCACCAGUGUUAGGGAAGGCUCUGCCAUAGACCGCCUGGUUGACUGGUCUCCUCUAAGGCCCGUUUCUGGACCCAGCAUUCCCAGAUCCUGGCUGCACCAUCCUGCCCAAAACCUACUUGCUUCUGAGCUUCAAAGUUCCCAUCUGCAAAAUGGGGACACCGGACCAGGUCACUUUGACAGGUCCUUCUGAAUCAGACUACCUAGGACCCCUGAUGUAAGAAGGAGGCUCUGAAAUCAGUAAUAGCAUGUCAGCUCCCCUCGGGAUCCAGUGAGUAGUCAAGCCCUGGCCACUGCCAUACAGGACCCCAAAGCCGGAAACCCCUCAGUAAAGAGCACAGGGCGUGAAGACUCUGGUGGGGUAACCCUGCCAUACUCUGUUCCGUGCGGUAGGAAUUCAGGGGAGCAAGUGGGUACAAGUGCCAAGGAAAGGAAGACGCACCGAUGACAGAGAAACCGAGACUCAGGCCGCCCAUGUGGAAGGAGGCAUUGCUGAAGUUCAAACCCUCAUCUGGGGCUCCUGGGCCCCAGUUCUGUCUGGGAGAGGAAGCAGGGGCCCUGGCCCCAUCUCAGCAGGGAGCAUCGACCCUGUGCAGGAAAUGGGUUGCGGUUGCUAAACCAGUCCAAGCCCAUUCGAGGCCGGCAGAAGUCUCUAGAGUAGCUGGCACUACCACAUCUCCUAGGUCGGGGCAAGAGAAGGUUCCAGAAAAGCCCUCGAGCCCUCCAGAUGCCUGAUGUCAUCACCCAGGAAAACCACAUGUCUAAGAAGACCCCAGACCAUGGCCACCGUGUGGAGAAAGACCGCAGUACCUCCAUUUACUUGGGUCUGGGACGGUUGCUCUGACUUGAAUGUAACUCUGCUGACCAUGGAUUGUGUGGUGUAUGCAUCCUGGUCCCUGCUCUUCACUGCGCCUUAGGGACUGCCUUGAUCGCCCGUCUUGGCUGUUGGUGAGUUCUGCCCAGUGCCCCUACACAUCAGGCAUCCUCUCAGUAUCUGCCACAGGAUCCAGUGGCAUAGCUCACGUCCCUCUGAGACCCCUCCCUCCCUGUGGUUGGAUCUAGGCCCCCAUAACCAUCUCUUGACCCGUUCUUCUCCCUAUGACUAACUUAAAGUCAGUCUCUAGAUCUCUGUGGGCUGCCUAGGGUGACUACCAGAUGAGAAGUCUCACCCUCGCCCUUGGCCACAGUGUACAAAAGGCCUUGGCGGGCUUGGAAGACACCUCCCUGUUCUGUUCCCUCACCCCAAACACUGCCGCUCUUCAUCUCCCAGGCAGCUGGCCAUCACUGGAAGAGCUCCCUCUUUCCCUCCCAGAGCUUGUUUGCUUUUGGCCCAUUGCUGUGCUCUGGUCCCCCUGGGAGCACCCACCCUUCUGGCCUAGGAUUUUGCCAGGAGGGACAAUGAUCAGUAAACAGAGAAGGCAGUUGUGAAACCCAGCGAGAGCAGACAGGACCCGCACAUGUUCCGGCAGGCCCCCACGGACUAGAAGGCACAGGCCUCGGCACCUGCAGUUUCCUCAUUUUUAAAAUGGAACGGAGUUAAAAGUGCCAGUCUCCUGGAAUAACAGGGGACUCCAAGGCCUGACCCACAGCAUCUCCCAAGGGUCCCUGGAUGGCCUGCUUUCUUCUCUCAGAGGCCUGAGCCCAGCGCAUUCACACCUACCGAAUGGCAGCCGCCUGGAGCAGUAGGUGAGCUGUCCUGAGGGGUCCAGUCAAGAGGACUCAUGUUACAGGGGUGCCCAGCCCAGGAGGGUUUAGGCCUCAGGACUCAGAUACAGAAAGAGAAAAGGGAACCCUGGGAAGUAGCUACGUGUGACCUCGGGCCUGCCACUCUUGUUCAGAAGGAACGAUAAAAUGGGUUGCUGUGUAGAUUGAAGCAGAUAACACACUGCUGUGCAUCCCAGCGCUUGGCAUGCUGGGAACGUUGUGGAAACCAAAGUCCUCCUGUUUAGCUGAGGCAGUGAGCUUUCCAUUGUCAACUACCUGAAGCCGAGCAGAGUAGCCCAGAGCCACUGACAGCAGAGAGAGGCUGUGAACGGAUGCACACCCCAGGUGUUCUGCCCGCAUGUAUGGCUCUGCACCAUGUGCAUGUAGUGCCCUUGGAGGCCAGAAGAGGGCACCAGAACAGGCAGAGAGCCUAACUGGUAGCUAAACUGUGGCCUUGCCGGACAGGCUUCAGAGAGCCCCUCGAUUCCCUGCUACUCACCAUUCCCCCAAGGGCUUUUUCCUCAGCCACAGCGGGGCAGGGCAGAGGGAUAAGGCCUCUUGACACAGGCCGGGUAAUCACAAGGGCCUAUAAAUAGACCCUGUGGCUUGGGCGGAACUCGCUAUGCCAGGCCCAGCUCCACAAGCACCAGAGCACAAAUGGGCCAGAAAUGGCUCUUCUCCCUCACACAGUUAACUAAAACUUCUUCAGGAAGCCAUUGUUCACACUCCUUGGAGGAAGAGGAUUUGAGCAAAGAGCCCCACUUGCCUAGUGGGGAUACUGGACCUGGGCCUAGGCUCCUUUUCUGCUUCCUCCUUCCACUGCUUCUGUCUGGGACCCAGUUUCCCAAAAUGUGAACUGGGGAGGUCAGUGUGCUCUCUUGGGCCCUUCCGGCCUGGAUGCUCUUGAUCUGUCUGUGACAGCCUCUGCCUCUCAAAUAUCUGUCUCAUUGUGUCCUGCCCCAAUCAACUUGGAAGUUGUAUUUUAUCAUUAAUUCAGUGCUGGGGCCGAUCCCAGGCAGGUCCUCCAUUGCCUGAGCCACAUCCACGGCCCCUGGGGCACAUUUCAAAUUAAAUUUUACUGUUAUUGUUGUCUAGGAUUUUUGAGGACCUCACCAUCCCAAGUGCUGAGGGCAGAGGAUGAAGAGGCGAACAGGUCCUAACCAGUCCUCUCCUGGCCUGGGUGCGAGAGGCAUUUCCAGUCCCACCCCCCAAACCCUGCUGGGAACAUGGAGUUUCUGGUUCAGACUGCAGCCUGUGACCUGGGCAGGGCCCUAAUCUUACAGUAAAGGCUCCCCAGCCAUCCCAUGUACACACAUGUGCUACAGACCUUCCUCCCCAGUUCACUCCCGUCACCAUCCAAGCCCUACUUCGUGGAUGCAGAAAACGAGGCUGAGAGGGACUGGAGAGUGGGAGAGACCCGGGCUCAGACUCUCUCACCUCGGGAGCCCAGGGCUGCAGUGGUCUGACUCAAUUCAGCCUACUGGACAGUGGGAACAGAAUCGGACAAGAGCAAAGAAUGCAGAGAGACGGGCAGGUUAUUCCUGUGUGUCUGUCUGUCUGUCUGUGUGUGUCCUGGAGUGGCAGGGCUUCACUGGUAACACACAUUCUCCCCUAUGGGAUUCCAGCAUUGCCCUCUCUGACCCGCCCUCCUCUUUGCCUGCCACCAAUUGAUUGCUCUGAAAUCCCGUCAAUCAAGUCACUCCUCUUCUCAACAGCAUUCCAGAUCUCUCCAGACCUGACUCACUUGUCGGCAGGGACACAGGGCUCCUCCAGGUGACCAGCCCUUUGCACAUAAUCCUCUUGCCUGGAACACUCAACUCCCCAUCCCAGCCCAGCAUUCAUCUCAUGGGCAGGAAAAGCUGACUGGUCCCAUGGGCAUCUUGGAAAGUGUCUGGGUAUCGGCCACCAUUGCCCCUCAGGGAUUACAGUGGCUCUCCUCUUGCAGGAUGGUACAGUUCACCACCCAUCCCAGUGCAAGAGUCAGCAAGGGUUGGCUGGGGAACGGGCACGGGUCGGGGUAGGUGGCGGCAAAGAGCCAAAAGAAUCCUGGGCAAGCGCACAUUUCCCAGGACUUCUCAAUAUCAGGGGGCACUACAGUGAGGAAAACCCUGAAACAACACCAUGCAGGGUCUUAAGAUGUGUGUGCGUGUGUAUCAUGGUUCCACUAAUGAAGUUCUCCAAGUCUCCCACUAGGAAGCUCCUAACAGUCUCCAGUAGCCUGGAGUGAAAUCCAUGGUGGAGGUCAGCAUGGCCUGGAGGCUCCUGGUCCCUUGCCUGGCCAUUCCCCCCUCCCUCUGAGGGAUGCCCUCCCUUCCUAGCUCACCCUGCCAUCCAGCACUCCCCCCCAGCUGUUCCCUUACCCCAUCAGAUCCUCCUCAGGUGAAGAAAAACGAAGCCAUGGCAGGCAUAACCAUCUCCACAAGACCCAGGAGGUACGGAAAGGUUUUAUUCUUUGCUCCUUCUCCAACCCCCAGCUCCCAGCCUAGACAUCUGUCACACGAUUCUGUGAAUGAAUGGAUUCCAGAAUCUGCUGAACAUUUAAGUUCAGAAAAACAAAGCCCUGUGCAUAGUCAGAAAGGGUGGGGUGGGGCAGCUUGGGAAACACGGCUCAGCCUUCCAGUGGCAAGGGAGAGAAUGUUCCAGAUGGAGAAGGAAUCAAUGUGCCAGAGACUUGGGACAAGGACAUCUGAGGAUCUGACAGGAGGGCACCAAGUCACCCUCCUUACCUGCUUACACCCAAGUUCAUGGAGGUGAGCGUGAGGCGAGUACAGUCCAGGGGAUGAAGGAGCUGCAAGGGUGAACAGGCAGGCUCCUGAGACAUUCAGCCAGGCCCGAGCAGGUCUGGCUGUGGCCCUGUGGUGGUUUCCGAAGCUGGGCAGGCAGGCAGAAUGCAAGGGCCUGGGGACAUGGCUCACAAAAGCAUUCACAGAAAGGGACACCCCUGCCUCUGGACUGUCAGAAGCAGGCACCCCAGAAGCCAGGUGUGAUCCUUCAGUGGCAGCUGAGGCGAGGCCAGGCCUCUGGGUCUAGAGAACCUUCUAGAAACCCCUGGCUCCAAGGACUAAGUACCUUGAUGACCACCAAUGGCCCUCUCAUCUAGACUUAAGAGGGACAGAGCCAUGGUCAGCUCCUGUCACCGCCUGGCAGCUGGGCGCAGUGGAGCAUUGGAAAAUACAGGCACUCACUUCCUGCUUCUUUUGGCAAGCAACAGUGAUACCAUGGGCUGGCCAUUGAUGCCAUGGGCUGGAGGGCACUUUCCUUUCUCCUCACACAAUUAGAAGUUCUCUUUUGUUCAGGUCGAAACGCUCUCACAGUGACCCCCAUGGCUUUUCAGCUCACAAAGGCAUCUGCAGGCCUGUCUGAUCCCCAAGACCACCUUGUCAGACAAGGAGGGACUGAAUGUACCGCCUUACAGGAGGAAAAGCCCAGGGCCCGCUUGGGAGGGAAUCUGCGUCUCCUGGCUUGUAGCCCAGCACUCUGCAUUCCGCCCAGCGCCCAGCCUCCCAGUGCCCUGCACUUCAGGCUCGCCUGGGAACCUGAUAGGUGGGCCCGCCCACCCAGCCAGCCAGGGAGAGUUCCUACCUCGCCUCCUCACGGAACCCACCCCGCCAUAGCGCUCCCAGGAGGCUUGAGCACAGCAAGCAAGAAGCCCCGCCAGGGUGAGAGCAGGCAUCAGGGUGCUCAGCCCGCCUCACCCCUCCCCUCAGGACCGCCCUCAUCCCUGCCCUCAUCCCUGCCCUCACCUGCCUUUCCCUUGGUGAGGAGCAGAUGAGGUAAUGAAUAAACAGUAUGUCCACAAAGGGAAAAACUUUUAAUCCACAAAGGCUGUUCAGCUGCUCGCACUCUGGAAUCAUCUAGACUCCCCAGGACACUAGGUGGUCAGUGGCUCUGUGUUGUU